AGUGAACGUUGGCGGCGUGGAUUAGGCAUGCAAGUCGAGCGAGAACCGUAGCAAUACGGGGACAGCGGCGAAAGGGACAGUAAAGUGUAGGUACCUACCCCGAGGUCUGGGAUAGCUGCGGGAAACUGCAGGUAAUACCGGAUAAUGUCUUCGGACCAAAGGUGUGAUUCCACCUUGGGAGGGGUCUGCAUCCUAUUAGCUAGUUGGCGGGGUAAUGGCCCACCAAGGCAACGAUGGGUAGCGGGUGUGAGAGCACGACCCGCGUCAUUGGGACUGAGACACUGCCCAGACACCUACGGGUGGCUGCAGUCGAGGAUCUUCGGCAAUGGGCGAAAGCCUGACCGAGCGACGCCGCGUGCGGGAUGAAGGCCUUCGGGUUGUAAACCGCUGUCGUAGAGGAGGAAAUGCAGGGGGGUUCUCCCUUCUGUUUGACCUAUUCUAGGAGGAAGGACGGGCUAAGUUCGUGCCAGCAGCCGCCGUAA
Molecule: ribosomal RNA, 482 nt
Filed under: uncultured bacterium
Lineage: Bacteria
Description: partial 16S ribosomal RNA
Rfam family: Bacterial small subunit ribosomal RNA
Source: RNAcentral